GCAAGGGGCUAGAACACAGGUGCUGCAUGGCUGUCGUCAGCUCGUGUCGUGAGAUGUUGGGUUAAGUCCCGCAACGAGCGCAACCCUCGCCCUUAGUUGCCAUCAUUCAGUUGGGCACUCUAGGGGGACUGCCGGUGAUAAGCCGCGAGGAAGGUGGGGAUGACGUCAAGUCCUCAUGGCCCUUACAGGCUGGGCUACACACGUGCUACAAUGGCGGUGACAAUGGGACGCGAAGGGGCGACCCUUAGCAAAUCUCAAAAAACCGUCUCAGUUCGGAUUGCACUCUGCAACUCGAGUGCAUGAAGGUGGAAUCGCUAGUAAUCGCAGAUCAGCACGCUGCGGUGAAUACGUUCCCGGGCCUUGUACACACCGCCCGUCACACCAUGGGAGUUGGCUUUACCCGAAGGCGUUUCGCUAACCGCAAGGAGGCAGACGACCACGGUAGGGUCAGCGACUGGGGUGAAGUC
Molecule: ribosomal RNA, 467 nt
Filed under: uncultured Methylosinus sp.
Lineage: Bacteria; Pseudomonadati; Pseudomonadota; Alphaproteobacteria; Hyphomicrobiales; Methylocystaceae
Description: bacterial SSU rRNA
Rfam family: Bacterial small subunit ribosomal RNA
Source: RNAcentral